This 431-nucleotide ribosomal RNA is filed under the name uncultured bacterium. RNAcentral's name for it is "bacterial SSU rRNA". It matches the Rfam family "Bacterial small subunit ribosomal RNA", at positions 29 to 507 of the family's 1533-position model. The record is from RNAcentral.
AACAAACGCUGGCGGCAGGCUUAACACAUGCAAGUCGAACGCCCCGCAAGGGGAGUGGCAGACGGGUGAGUAACGCGUGGGAAUCUACCUAGUUCUACGGAACAACAGAGGGAAACUUCUGCUAAUACCGUAUACGCCCUAAGGGGGAAAGAUUUAUCGGAAUUAGAUGAGCCCGCGUAAGAUUAGCUAGUUGGUGGGGUAAUGGCCUACCAAGGCGACGAUCUUUAGCUGGUCUGAGAGGAUGAUCAGCCACACUGGGACUGAGACACGGCCCAGACUCCUACGGGAGGCAGCAGUGGGGAAUAUUGGACAAUGGGCGCAAGCCUGAUCCAGCCAUGCCGCGUGAGUGAUGAAGGCCUUAGGGUUGUAAAGCUCUUUCAGUGGGGACGAUAAUGACGGUACCCACAGAAGAAGCCCCGGCUAACUUCGUG